Molecule: unclassified non-coding RNA, 300 nt
Filed under: uncultured fungus
Lineage: Eukaryota; Fungi
Description: sequence contains 5.8S rRNA gene, ITS2
Rfam family: 5.8S ribosomal RNA (bases 1-71)
Source: RNAcentral
GUGAAUCAUCGAAUCUUUGAACGCAUAUUGCACUCUCUGGUCCUCUAGAGAGUAUGCCUGUUUGAGUAUCAUUAACACCCUCGUCUCCCCACCAGGGCGCAUUUCGCGUCUAGAUGGGAAGCGGUCGUGAGCACUCUGGCUCGGGCUAGUAGAGUUGUGGUUGGCUUUAAAGCAGUUAGCUUUGGCCGCUGUAGCUCUGCGCUAGCCCUGCCGGUUGCUUUAAAUGAAGCGCGUGCUGUGCUUUGCCACAUCCGACUGGCGUACUAGUUCUCUUUCGAGAUUUCAUUACGCCAACAACAG